UUGGCUGUUGUCCCGCUUCCGAGUGCAACAGGGCCGCCGAGAUCGACCGUCCUGAAUUAGCAUGUUCGGGGCCGCGGAGGAGGAUGACGCGGAUUUUUUGUCCCCUACAGGCGGCGCCAGAUUGGCCUCUCUCUUUGGAUUGGAUCAGACAGUAUCAGUCCAUGGAAAUGAAUUCUUCCAAUAUACAGCACCAAAACAGCCUAAAAAAGGCCAAGCAGCAGCAACACUAUGCACUGAGUGUGAAGAGAAGGGAUGGGACAAAGUGUUAACA
Molecule: long non-coding RNA, 271 nt
Organism: Terrapene triunguis (Three-toed box turtle)
Lineage: Eukaryota; Metazoa; Chordata; Testudines; Emydidae
Exons: 3
Source: RefSeq, a predicted model, not a curated record